AAUAGUUUUAUGCCGCAUCAGCAUUAUCAUCCUAAAUUUCAGCAUUUUCAUCUUGAAAAAAAUCAAAUCUAAAUUAAAAUGCUGAAAUUUAGGAUGAUAAUGCUGAUGCGGCAUAAAACUAUU
RNAcentral lists this microRNA precursor (123 nucleotides) under Gossypium barbadense (sea-island cotton). RNAcentral describes it as "MIR7504 microRNA precursor family". It matches the Rfam family "MIR7504 microRNA precursor family". RNAcentral also lists the same sequence under 2 other names. The record is from Rfam by way of RNAcentral. Lineage: Eukaryota; Viridiplantae; Streptophyta; Magnoliopsida; Malvales; Malvaceae.